This 167-nucleotide long non-coding RNA is filed under the name Cyanistes caeruleus (blue tit). Its description in RNAcentral is "lncRNA (ENSCCEG00000022730.1)". Lineage: Eukaryota; Metazoa; Chordata; Aves; Passeriformes; Paridae. The record is from RNAcentral.
CCAAGUAGAAGAAACUUCAGGGAAUGCAAAUUAAAUGGAUAUAAGAGGCAAAACAAUAAAGGCAAGGAGAGGAAUUGGUAGGAAAGCUGGUGUUGUUGAUUCGAUAUGUGAACACUUGGACUCUUUCAUGGCUGGAUCAAAAUUUUUCUCAGAAGAAUAGAUAGGUA